UGCCAGGACUGAGUCAGGGUGGAGCCAGGAGCCAGCAGCUUUAUUCAGGUCUCUCACUUGGGUGGUAGGGGCCCAAACACUUGAGCCAUUUUCUGCUGCUUUUCCCAGGCCAUUACCAGGGAGCUGGAUCAGAAGUGGAGCAGCCAGGACAUGAACUGGCAUCCAUAUGGGAUGCCAGUGUUGCAGGUCUUGACUUUACCUGCUAUGCCACAAUAUUGGCCCUGUGCUUAGCAGGGAGCUGGAUCAGAAGUGGAACAGCCAGGAUUCAAACUGACACCCAUAUGCGAUGCCAGUACUGCAUGGGCAGGAACUGGAGUUGUCUCCUGCUGCAUCACUUCUGUGUCUCCUCCCCCUUCACCAUCUGAUGCUUCUAGGAAAAAAGUUUGGAAAUUAGGAAAGUGUUUCUUAUUCCCACUGCUAG
This is a long non-coding RNA of Oryctolagus cuniculus (rabbit), 421 nucleotides long. RefSeq lists it as uncharacterized. Lineage: Eukaryota; Metazoa; Chordata; Mammalia; Lagomorpha; Leporidae. The record is from RefSeq and is a predicted model, not a curated record.